GCAGAACUCCGCGAAUCAUCGAAUUUUUGAACGCAAAUGGCGCCCUUGGGUUACCCCCUUGGGCACACCUCUCUGAGUGUCGGUUUAACCCUAUGUCACCUCUUAAUUUAUUUUAAGUGGUGUACGAAAGCUGAGGGUAAGGGGUCUUGUACUCUUUUCCCUUUAAAUUCUAGCCGACGCAGUUACGUGCCGGUGGCAAGUUGCUUUCACUUAACUGUGAAUUCAAAUCCAUUGACCUCUCUGCGACCAAUCGGCCAAAAGAAACAACAGGCAUGUUCAUCCGCAACAAACAGGUGUCGAGGAGUCCUAAAAAAACUCCAAGAUUCUCUUACUAGUAAGGAUGGCAUUGCUUUUAUGAAUUAGACCUCAGAUGAAGUGGGAAAACCCCCUGAAUUUAAGCAUAUUAUUAAGGGGAGGAAAAGAAACUAACAAGGAUUCCC
RNAcentral lists this ribosomal RNA (440 nucleotides) under Rhogostoma sp. CCAP 1966/4. RNAcentral describes it as "eukaryotic LSU rRNA". The stretch from base 362 to 440 matches the Rfam family "Eukaryotic large subunit ribosomal RNA", at positions 1 to 79 of the family's 3401-position model. The record is from RNAcentral. Lineage: Eukaryota; Cercozoa; Thecofilosea; Cryomonadida; Rhogostomidae.